Molecule: ribosomal RNA, 448 nt
Filed under: uncultured prokaryote
Description: bacterial SSU rRNA
Rfam family: Bacterial small subunit ribosomal RNA
Source: RNAcentral
UGGGGAAUCUUGGACAAUGGGCGCAAGCCUGAUCCAGCAACACCGUGUGAGCGAGGAAGGUCUUCGGAUCGUAAAGCUCUGUUGUUGGGGACGAAGGGCGAAGGGUUAAUAGCCCCUAGCCUGACGGUACCCUUCGAGGAAGCCCCGGCUAACUACGUGCCAGCAGCCGCGGUAAUACGUAGGGGGCGAGCGUUGUCCGGAAUUAAUGGGCGUAAAGAGCGUGUAGGCGGCCUGGUAAGUCUGCCGUGAAAACCUGGGGCUCAACCCUGGGCGUGCGGUGGAUACUGCUAGGCUAGAGGAUGGUAGAGGCGAGUGGAAUUCCCGGUGUAGCGGUGAAAUGCGCAGAUAUCGGGAGGAACACCAGUAGCGAAGGCGGCUCUCUGGGCCAUACCUGACGCUGAGACGCGAAAGCUAGGGGAGCAAACAGGAUUAGAUACCCCCGUAGUCC